GAUGAACGCUGGCGGCGUGCCUAAUACAUGCAAGUCGAGCGAACGGACGAGAAGCUUGCUUCUCUGAUGUUAGCGGCGGACGGGUGAGUAACACGUGGAUAACCUACCUAUAAGACUGGGAUAACUUCGGGAAACCGGAGCUAAUACCGGAUGAUAUUUUGAACCGCAUGGUUCAAAAGUGAAAGACGGUCUUGCUGUCACUUAUAGAUGGAUCCGCGCUGCAUUAGCUAGUUGGUAAGGUAACGGCUUACCAAGGCAACGAUGCAUAGCCGACCUGAGAGGGUGAUAGGCCACACUGGAACUGAGACACGGUCCAGACUCCUACGGGAGGCAGCAGUAGGGAAUCUUCCGCAAUGGGCGAAAGCCUGACGGAGCAACGCCGCGUGAGUGAUGAAGGUCUUCGGAUCGUAAAACUCUGUUAUUAGGGAAGAACAUAUGUGUAAGUAACUGUGCACAUCUUGACGGUACCUAAUCAGAAAGCCACGGCUAACUACGUG
This 497-nucleotide ribosomal RNA is filed under the name uncultured bacterium. RNAcentral describes it as "partial 16S ribosomal RNA". It matches the Rfam family "Bacterial small subunit ribosomal RNA", at positions 28 to 507 of the family's 1533-position model. The record is from RNAcentral.